RNAcentral lists this ribosomal RNA (245 nucleotides) under uncultured bacterium. RNAcentral describes it as "partial 16S ribosomal RNA". It matches the Rfam family "Bacterial small subunit ribosomal RNA", at positions 528 to 772 of the family's 1533-position model. The record is from RNAcentral.
UAGGGGGCAAGCGUUAUCCGGAUUUACUGGGCGUAACGGGAGCGUAGACGGCAAUGCAAGUCUGGAGUGAAAGGCGGGGGCCCACCCCCCGGACUGCUCUGGAAACUGUAUAGCUGGAGUGCAGGAGAGGUAAGUGGAAUUCCUAGUGUAGCGGUGAAAUGCGUAGAUAUUAGGAGGAACACCAGUGGCGAAGGCGGCUUACUGGACUGUAACUGACGUUGAGGCUCGAAAGCGUGGGGAGCAAA